GACGAACCGUCCAAACGUUAUUCGGAAUCACUGGGCUUAAAGGGUGCGUAGGCGGUCCGGAAAGUUGGGUGUGAAAGCCCUCGGCUCAACCGAGGAAUUGCGCUCAGAACUGCCGGACUCGAGGGAGACAGAGGUGAGCGGAACUUGCGGUGGAGCGGUGAAAUGCGUUGAUAUCGCAAGGAACACCAGUAGCGAAGGCGGCUCACUGGGUCUCUUCUGACGCUCAGGCACGAAAGCUAGGGGAGCGAACGGGAUUAGAUACCCCCGUA
This 269-nucleotide ribosomal RNA is filed under the name uncultured prokaryote. RNAcentral's name for it is "partial 16S ribosomal RNA". It matches the Rfam family "Bacterial small subunit ribosomal RNA", at positions 524 to 792 of the family's 1533-position model. The record is from RNAcentral.